CCUACGGGGGGCUGCAGUGAGGAAUAUUGCUCAAUGGGCGCAAGCCUGAAGCAGCGACGCCGCGUGGGCGAUGAAGGUCUUCGGAUCGUAAAGCCCUUUUCUGCGUGACGAGGAAGGACGGUAGCGCAGGAAUAAGUGUCGGCUAACUACGUGCCAGCAGCCGCGGUAAAACGUAGGACGCAAACGUUAUCCGGAAUUACUGGGCGUAAAGAGCGUGUAGGCGGGUGAGUAAGUUGUCCGUGAAAGCUCCCGGCUAAACUGGGAGAGGUCGGAUA
RNAcentral lists this ribosomal RNA (275 nucleotides) under uncultured bacterium. Its description in RNAcentral is "partial 16S ribosomal RNA". It matches the Rfam family "Bacterial small subunit ribosomal RNA", at positions 338 to 629 of the family's 1533-position model. The record is from RNAcentral.